AUGCUCACUUUGGCAGCACAUAUACUAAAAUUGGAACAAUACAAAGAAUAUUUGUAUGGUGCAUGCAAAAUGAUGAAGUGCAAAUUUGUGAAAUGUUCCAUACUUUU
This is a small nuclear RNA of Echinops telfairi (small Madagascar hedgehog), 107 nucleotides long. The record is from RefSeq and is a predicted model, not a curated record. Lineage: Eukaryota; Metazoa; Chordata; Mammalia; Afrosoricida; Tenrecidae.